This is a long non-coding RNA of Ictalurus furcatus (blue catfish), 3179 nucleotides long. RefSeq lists it as uncharacterized. NCBI's taxonomy places the organism in Eukaryota, Metazoa, Chordata, Actinopteri, Siluriformes, Ictaluridae. The transcript is spliced from 5 exons. The record is from RefSeq and is a predicted model, not a curated record.
ACCUUUCCAUGGAAACGCCGUUCUAUAGCAUAUCCGUUCUGUCUCCCCCUCUCCUCUAAUACUACAUUUAUAAUAUGAAAAUGUGAUUUAGUUUAUUUUCAGUUAAUUAUUUAACGAAAUGAUUAACUUGUGUAUUCGUAUAAUACGACAUACUCACAAAAUCUCACCUGUAGUAGGUCAGUCAUCCUACUAGGAGUCUACUACAACAUAAAACAAAGGCAACCUGAGUAAACACACAAUACAGUUUUUAUUGAAGCAAAAUAAUAAAAAGGUUAUUCAAAACCUAUCACCAAUGUGAAAAACAAUUUGCCCCCUUCAACUUAAAAUCUGGUUGUACCACCUUUAGCAGCAAUUACUGCAACCAAACACUUUCGAUAACUGGAGCUCGGGUCUUUAACAGCGCUGUGGUGGAAUAAAUGUGUUAAUAUUUUCAAGGUUAUUUUAACCCUUUAAAAAUGUCAAUUCUACCACAUUAUACACAAAUAUCUCAACAUGGUAUCUCCUUUAUUUAUACACAAGAAGGUGUUCAGAAAUGUAUUGCUAGAGCUGCUAACGUGCUGUUUAUACCCAGAUAGCAAGCACAUUUGGGCCGAUUCCGGUAGAAAUGCGCCAUUGUCGGCUCUAUGGCGGUAUCGGUGAAAAGGUGUGAAAAGGUGACUUCGGGCCGGCAGACGGGUUUUGCUAUGUGGGCCAAUCUCGGCUGAAAGCUGGUGUACGUGCGGCAGGUCCAUACUCGGCGUAGCGGUGUUCGUUAAGUCACAGUCGGCCCAUAGCUGGAAUUAAGGAGCUCAGCCGCCUGGAAAAAGAGAAAAAAAAAAGUUUUGGCGGUUAAAUCAGUUCGGAUCCUCGAGGCUGCAGUCGUUCUUCGUUUUCAAGAGGAAUCAUUUCACGUGAAGAAGACAGCUAUAAAGAGGGCAGGAGGAAAGCCAGAGAGGGCAGGACCUGGUCAGACCUCCAGUCAGACGCGGAACUUCUUUAUCAUAGCCAUGCUGAGGGAGGUGCUGACUAAAUUAGAGAUGGUUAACAAAUUAAAAAAUUAACAAACCACUGAGAUUACUUCAACUACAGGAGGUCCAGGUGCAGCCUUUGUAUAUUGAGGAAGGUUUACUGCCCCUGCAAGACCUUCCUCAACGGUGUAGUCUGGAGCAAAGGAUGCAACAGAGUCCAGAUUACAAGCAAAAACUGGACACACUCGUACUCAAAGCACAACAUUCAACACCACUUUGAUAUGAGGGAACAGUUAUGACCUAAUCUUUGGUAAACUGGUUGCGCUUAUUGACAGGGCGGAUGUGCACGACUGCACCUGGCGCAUAUUGAAGAGGGUGAUUGCCAAUUCCCUGGCAAAGAACCGCAAUUGGAGGGGAGUCAAUGGAAAGACUUCACUGGCAACUCUCCAACUCGGAGAGGUCGUGAUUGCUGCAGUUCAAAGAAACUUCUUCACGGCUAAUGCUGCUCAGAUGGAGGUUGAGGGGACCAUGAAGAGGUGGCUCCAGCUGGCAUCAGAUCGAGAGUGUGGGCGCAAGAGAAGACUUUUGCAAAAGGAAGGUAUUUAGAGUGUUCUGUGCUUCUUUUUUUUGCGCUAUUUGUUAAUUUGUUAAAAUGUUCAUAUUAUAGUCUAUUUUUAAUUGUUUAUAAAAGUCCUUGUUGUUUUUAUGUGGUUGAAUUUGUGUGUGUGUGUGUGUGUGUGUGUGUGUUGGUAGCUGGGUGGGUAUACAGUUGUGGUCAGAAGUUUACAUACCCCUUGCAGAAUCUGCAAAAUCUUAAUACUCUUAACAAAAUAAGAUUGAUCAUAAAAAUUCCAUGUUGUUUUUUAUUUAGUACUGUCCUGAAUAAACUAUUUCACAUAACAGGUGUUUACAUAUAGUCCACAAGACAAUAGCUGAAUUUAUAAAAACCACCCCGUUCAAAAGUUUACAUACCCUUGAUUCUUAAUACUGUGCAUCGUUUCCGGGAUGAUCCACGACUGCUUUUAUGUUUUGUGAUAGUUGUUCAUGAGUCUCUUGUUUGUUCUGAGCAGUUAAACUGCCCACUGUUCAGGUCCUGCACAUUCUUUGCUUUUCUAGCACCUUCUAGCAUAUUUGACCCCUUUCCAACAGCAGCUAUAUGAUGUUGAGAUCCGUCUGAGGACACUGAGGGACUCGUACAUGACUAUUACAUCAGGUGCAAACAUUCACUGAUGCUCGAGAAUGCAACACAAUACAUUAAGAGCCAGGGGGUGUAAAAUUUUGAACAGGAUGAUCGGUGUAAAUUGUUAUUUUCUCUUCUGGGAGACAUGUAAGUAUCUUAUUUAGCUUCUGAAGGGCAGUACUAAAUGGAAAAAAUAAGAUCUUUAAACAAAAUAACAAUUUACACAUAUCCUGUUAAAAAAUUUACACCCCCCGGCUCUUAAUGUAUUGUGUUGCAUUUAUUUGUAAUGUAAGUGGUUGAAUUUAUUUGUGUGCAUGUGUUCGUAGCUGUAUGUGUGUGAGAGAGAAUUGUUUUUGUCUUUAAAUAUACUGUAAAUAUAUUUAGUUGUUAUUUUGUAGUUUUUAAAAGUGUGUUGUUAAUACAUGUUCAUAUUAUAGUGUAUUUGUUAAUGUUUAAUAAAAGCCCUUAAUCUUAUUAAAUGGUUGAAUUUGUGUUUCCCUACUAAAAUUAAGUACAUUUAGCAGUUUAUGGGCAACAUCUGGCCCGGGGACCAAGCCGACUCUCAGCCAGAUCUGUCUUACAGUGUCUGGGCCAGACCCGGGCCACAUAAAACAAUAUAAGUCACUUUACAAUGUCUGGGUCGGAGGAAAUUGUAUGUGUUCAUUUUCAGUGUGUGGGCCAGUUUUGGGCCAGGGACACAGGCGCACUGGGCCAGAACUAAAGCAAGUAUGUGGCCCACAAGUGGGCCAGACAAAUUUUGCUAUCUGGGAGACUAUCAUACACAUCUUUGUACUGGUCUAUCUGAGGCAAACACAAUUCACCAAUUUCAACAGCAUACUAGAAAUAUCAACAACAACAACAAAAUAGCCUUGUACAGUAAAUGUACAGUUUUAAAGGUUUGAUAGUUGUGGGAGGUUUACUGGUAGGAUACAAAUGAGACACCAUAAAAAAAGCAUGUAUUUUUAACCUCAUAAAAUCUAUAAAGGUAACUGAAGUAUUUGUCGUAAUACAUAAUUUCUUAUAAAAAUGCUGACAUUUGUCUGUGGUUUCCA